GACGAACGCUGGCGGCGUGCUUAACACAUGCAAGUCGAACGGAAAGGCCCCUUUGGGGGUACUCGAGUGGCGAACGGGUGAGUAACACGUGAGUAACCUGCCCUUGACUUCGGGAUAACUUCAGGAAACUGGGGCUAAUACCGGAUAGGAAUCCUUGCUGCAUGGUGGGGGUUGGAAAGCUUCGGCGGUUUUGGAUGGACUCGCGGCUUAUCAGCUUGUUGGUGGGGUAGUGGCUUACCAAGGCGUUGACGGGUAGCCGGCCUGAGAGGGCGACCGGCCACAUUGGGACUGAGAUACGGCCCAGACGGCUACGGGAGGCAGCAGUGGGGAAUAUUGCACAAUGGGCGGAAGCCGGAUGCAGCAACGCUGCGUGCGGGAUGACGGCCUUCGGGUUGUAAAACGCUUUCAGGAGGGGCGAAGCUUGUGGUGACGGUACCUGAAGAAGAAGCACCGGCUAACUACGUG
Molecule: ribosomal RNA, 465 nt
Filed under: uncultured bacterium
Lineage: Bacteria
Description: partial 16S ribosomal RNA
Rfam family: Bacterial small subunit ribosomal RNA
Source: RNAcentral